UCCCAAACCCCUGUGAACAUACCAAUUGUUGCCUCGGCGGAUCAGCCCGCUCCCGGUAAAACGGGACGGCCCGCCAGAGGACCCCUAAACUCUGUUUCUAUAUGUAACUUCUGAGUAAAACCAUAAAUAAAUCAAAACUUUCAACAACGGAUCUCUUGGUUCUGGCAUCGAUGAAGAACGCAGCAAAAUGCGAUAAGUAAUGUGAAUUGCAGAAUUCAGUGAAUCAUCGAAUCUUUGAACGCACAUUGCGCCCGCCAGUAUUCUGGCGGGCAUGCCUGUUCGAGCGUCAUUUCAACCCUCAAGCCCCCGGGUUUGGUGUUGGGGAUCGGCGAGCCCUUGCGGCAAGCCGGCCCCGAAAUCUAGUGGCGGUCUCGCUGCAGCUUCCAUUGCGUAGUAGUAAAACCCUCGCAACUGGUACGCGGCGCGGCCAAGCCGUUAAACCCCCAACUUCUGAAUGUUGACCUCGGAUCAGGUAGGAAUACCCGCUGAACUUAAGCAUAUCAAA
Molecule: ribosomal RNA, 505 nt
Filed under: Nectriaceae sp. bc_sqmc_25_5b
Lineage: Eukaryota; Fungi; Ascomycota; Sordariomycetes; Hypocreales; Nectriaceae
Description: eukaryotic LSU rRNA
Rfam family: 5.8S ribosomal RNA (bases 136-289)
Source: RNAcentral